AGUUUGCAAACCCAUUGCAAACCCAUAGUUUGCAAAUCAGACUCAAGAAUGAUCUUCAGUAUUGGUGGUUUUGUGUGGGUUUUGUUUGUUAUUUUUAUUUGUUUUUGAGACUUCGUUAUUGGCACAACAGCUUCUGGAAAUCUGUUUCACAGAGAGUAUGGGGGCUUCUUUGGCCAAAUGGAGUGGGUACUUAUGAGUUCGGUCAGUGCCUGAGGGAGCACUCACUUCCUUGCCUGGUCAUAUUUUCAUUGGUGCAGGCUCCGUCUGCUUGGCAGCCACUGUUUGGGCCACAGCCUGUCCGCAGGGUCCUGCUCCUCUCUAAUUUGUUCAGACAUUGUGGUGUGUCUGGCCAUAUCAUUUGUCAUAGGUGUAAAAACAAUCACAACCAAAGCUUAAAGCUGUUGGGAUGAGCAGCUGCCUGGGAAUCACGCUCCUUCCUGCUCUUUCCAAAAAGCCAGGUGCCGCCGGCCAGCAUCCCGCUCCCUUUGACCCGCAGUCUGUGCGGGAAGUAGGCCCGGAGUGGUGCCAGCAGGAGGUGGCCUUAGAAAGGCGGAGACCCAAGGAGCAGAGUGAGUCGGCGUCCAGCUCCACCUGAAAGCGCCAUCUUGUCGCCACUUCCCUCAGGAGCAGCAUGCCCAGCCUCUUGCAUAGGAAGAAGUGGUAAGCUAAGGAGAGAAAUGCAGGGUUCCUAGUACACCAAUUUUCCAACUUUUUCAUCUUGGCCCUGCUUUAAAAUGAUGCAUCUACUGUCUUCAUGCCUCAGCACAGCAGAGAAAACCAUGCUGUGUUCCAGUUUACUUUGAAUGUUUCAGUGAAAAUGAUGAAGCUGAAAAAAUGACGGAGGCCCGUUUUACAUUGCAUUUCUCAGAGUCAUCGCCUCUGCUGCAGAUGGAACAACAGCCAUGGAGAAUGAGGGUCACCUGAAUGUGGAAAAGUUGAGUUGGAGCAAAACUGGCACGGCCAUACUGGAUGGACCUCAGCAUGACCAGGACACAUUUCAGCUCAAAUCCCCUGUGCCAAGAACACAUUCUGCCAAGGACCACCACCUCUUCCCACAACUAGAGCUGGCUUACCAGAGCACCGAUGGACUUGGAUACCUGAGAUAUCUGCUUGGGAUCCCACACUUUCAAGGUCUCUCCUCUGGCCUUCUUCUGGUUCUGCGACUCCUUACAGCGCUGGGAGUUGGUGAUGCCAACAGGACAUACGCUCCCAGAGCCUACCUCUCCCAGAUCACUUUAAAAGGCACCCAGGACCCCAGAAUUCUCAUCCUCAAAGGCAUGGAGCUCAGCUCUUGGCCCUCAACAAAUCUCUUCCCCAUAAAGAUCCUUUUGAGAGCUUAGGAUGUCCCCCGGAUGGUUUUGGUUGCAGAUUGUGGUGGUGGAGGGAGCUAUACAAUUUAAUCUAUUGCCAUUAAUUGGAUGCGCUAAUGGCAGAUUGGGUAGUGAUAAUGCCAUAAGAGGUAGUGUGUGAGCCGUGUGCUGCAUCUGUGCUAGCUCAGGUAAGUCAGCACACAGCACCUGCAGCCUCCUCUCACCUCUUCCCUGAGCAGCACCUUUUCACCUGAACAUGCUGAUCCCCUAGUGCUUCAUCUUGACAGCAACUUAACAAGCCCUGGGCAGCUUUUUAAAAUAAAUGACUAUGAUAUUGACUAUGAAUCUACAUAAAAGCCACUUGUUUUUUAGUCAUAAUCUGUGUCUAACUGCAGAAGAAAUUCACACCUUUGAAAAACAAAUAAAAAUGUAAAAAGUGAAAAUUGUUUGUAACCACAAUAUUCUGAAAUAGAACCUUUUUGUUAGAUCAUUUUCAAGAGGAUUUUUCAUACUUUCCUACAGUAAUACCAAUGUAUAUGCACUUGUAUAAAUUCUUGGUUAAAAUAUUCAUAGGGUGUAUGUGUCUAAAUAUAGAAUCAUACCCUAUUGUACAGUUCUAGUAAAUAGCUAUUUUUUUGCUUUUAACUCAGAAAAUAUAUAUUUGUAUUAUGCUUUACGUUCUGGGAUACAUGUGCGGAACGUGCAGUUUUGUUGCAUUGGUAUAUACGUGCCAUGGUGGUUUGCUGCACCCACCAACCCAUCAUCUACAUUAGGUAUUUCUCCUAAUGCUAUCCCUCCCCUAGCCCCCACUCCCUGACAGGCCCCAGUGUGUGAUGUUCCCCUCCCUGUCUGUGUCCAUGUGUUUGCAUUGUUGAACUCCCACUUAUGAGUGAGAACAUGCAGUGUUUGUACCUGUGUUAGUUUGCUGAGAAUUAUUGUUUCCAGCUUUGUCCAUGUCCCUGCAAAGACAUGAACUCAUCCUUUUUUAUGGCUGCACAGUAUUCCAUUGUGUAUAUGUGCUACAUUUUCUUUAUCGAGUCUAUCAUUGAUGGGCAUUUGGGCUGGUUCAAAGUCUUUGCUAUUGUGAACAGUGCUGCAAUAAACAUAAAGUAUGCAUGUGU
RNAcentral lists this long non-coding RNA (2431 nucleotides) under Homo sapiens (human). Its description in RNAcentral is "non-protein coding LINC01501:2". The record is from RNAcentral. Lineage: Eukaryota; Metazoa; Chordata; Mammalia; Primates; Hominidae.